RNAcentral lists this ribosomal RNA (1369 nucleotides) under Streptomyces sp. Its description in RNAcentral is "bacterial SSU rRNA". It matches the Rfam family "Bacterial small subunit ribosomal RNA", at positions 77 to 1442 of the family's 1533-position model. The record is from RNAcentral. Lineage: Bacteria; Bacillati; Actinomycetota; Actinomycetes; Kitasatosporales; Streptomycetaceae.
ACUUCGGUGGGGAUUAGUGGCGAACGGGUGAGUAACACGUGGGCAAUCUGCCCUUCACUCUGGGACAAGCCCUGGAAACGGGGUCUAAUACCGGAUACAACCACUACAGGCAUCUGUGGGUGGUGGAAAGCUCCGACUCCGGCGGUGAAGGAUGAGCCCGCGGCCUAUCAGCUUGUUGGUGAGGUAACGGCUCACCAAGGCGACGACGGGUAGCCGGCCUGAGAGGGCGACCGGCCACACUGGGACUGAGACACGGCCCAGACUCCUACGGGAGGCAGCAGUGGGGAAUAUUGCACAAUGGGCGAAAGCCUGAUGCAGCGACGCCGCGUGAGGGAUGACGGCCUUCGGGUUGUAAACCUCUUUCAGCAGGGAAGAAGCGAAAGUGACGGUACCUGCAGAAGAAGCGCCGGCUAACUACGUGCCAGCAGCCGCGGUAAUACGUAGGGCGCGAGCGUUGUCCGGAAUUAUUGGGCGUAAAGAGCUCGUAGGCGGUCUGUCGCGUCGGAUGUGAAAGCCCGGGGCUUAACCCCGGGUCUGCAUUCGAUACGGGCAGACUAGAGUGUGGUAGGGGAGAUCGGAAUUCCUGGUGUAGCGGUGAAAUGCGCAGAUAUCAGGAGGAACACCGGUGGCGAAGGCGGAUCUCUGGGCCAUUACUGACGCUGAGGAGCGAAAGCGUGGGGAGCGAACAGGAUUAGAUACCCUGGUAGUCCACGCCGUAAACGGUGGGAACUAGGUGUUGGCGACAUUCCACGUCGUCGGUGCCGCAGCUAACGCAUUAAGUUCCCCGCCUGGGGAGUACGGCCGCAAGGCUAAAACUCGGGGGCCCGCACAAGCAGCGGAGCAUGUGGCUUAAUUCGACGCAACGCGAAGAACCUUACCAAGGCUUGACAUCGCCCGGAAAGCAUCAGAGAUGGUGCCCCCCUUGUGGUCGGGUGACAGGUGGUGCAUGGCUGUCGUCAGCUCGUGUCGUGAGAUGUUGGGUUAAGUCCCGCAACGAGCGCAACCCUUGUUCUGUGUUGCCAGCAUGCCCUUCGGGGUGAUGGGGACUCACAGGAGACUGCCGGGGUCAACUCGGAGGAAGGUGGGGACGACGUCAAGUCAUCAUGCCCCUUAUGUCUUGGGCUGCACACGUGCUACAAUGGCAGGUACAAUGAGCUGCGAAGCCGUGAGGCCAUCCUUCACCGCCGGAGCGAAUCUCAAAAAGCCUGUCUCUGUUAGGAUUGGGGUCUGCAACUCGACCCCAUUUAGUCGGAGUUGCUAGUAAUCGCAGAUCAGCAUUGCUGCGGUGAAUACGUUCCCGGGCCUAAUACACACCGCCCGUCACGUCACGAAAGUCGGUAACACGACCCGAAGCCGGUGGCCCAACCCC